RNAcentral lists this unclassified non-coding RNA (117 nucleotides) under Stenotrophomonas indicatrix. RNAcentral's name for it is "yybP-ykoY". The stretch from base 11 to 96 matches the Rfam family "Manganese Mn2+ riboswitch aptamer (yybP-ykoY)". From Rfam's summary of the family: This RNA was originally discovered in E. coli during a large scale screen and was named SraF. The family was later found to exist upstream of related families of protein genes in many bacteria, including the the yybP and ykoK genes in B. subtilis. Lineage: Bacteria; Pseudomonadati; Pseudomonadota; Gammaproteobacteria; Lysobacterales; Lysobacteraceae. The record is from RNAcentral.
UCGCGUCCCCUUGGGGAGUAGCCGGAUUCCUACGCAGGAAUCGUCCACGUCAACAUACUCGGCCAGUGCGCCGUGGCGUGGACAACCAUGAUGGUUGGCGAGACCAGCGGCCCGCGC